ACCUCAGUGGUAUAGUGGUAGCACGUGUCUCCGAUAUGAAUGAAACGCGGGUUCGAUUCCGGGCUGAGGCU
This is a non-coding RNA of Parelaphostrongylus tenuis, 71 nucleotides long. The record is from the annotation of a GenBank genome assembly. NCBI's taxonomy places the organism in Eukaryota, Metazoa, Nematoda, Chromadorea, Rhabditida, Metastrongylidae.